RNAcentral lists this ribosomal RNA (459 nucleotides) under uncultured bacterium. RNAcentral's name for it is "partial 16S ribosomal RNA". It matches the Rfam family "Bacterial small subunit ribosomal RNA", at positions 338 to 795 of the family's 1533-position model. The record is from RNAcentral.
CCUACGGGUGGCAGCAGUGAGGAAUAUUGGUCAAUGGGCGAUAGCCUGAACCAGCCAAGUCGCGUGAAGGAUGACGGCCCUAUGGGUUGUAAACCUCUUUUAUCGGGGAACAAAGCGAAUCACGUAUGCCGCUUUGCAGGUACCCUAAGAAAAAGGAUCGGCUAACUCCGUCCCAGCAGCCGCGGUAAUACGGAGGAUCCGAUCGUUAUCCGGAUUUAUUGGGGUUAAAGGGGUCGUAGGCGGGUGUUUAAGUCAGUGGUUAAAUUUCGGGGCGAAACCCCGGACUGGCGUUGAAACUGGGAUCCUUGAGUGCGCGAGAAGUAUGCGGAAUGCGUGGUGUAGCGGUGAAAUGCAUAGAUAGCACGCAGAACUCCGAUUGCGAAGGCAGCAUACCGGCGCGCAACUGACGCUGAUGCACGAAAGCGUGGGUAUCGAACAGGAUUAGAUACCCUUGUAGUC